Molecule: long non-coding RNA, 935 nt
Organism: Homo sapiens (human)
Lineage: Eukaryota; Metazoa; Chordata; Mammalia; Primates; Hominidae
Source: Ensembl
GGGCCCAGGGCGACAGCGGAGCCUUCACACCGCUUUCUCCGCGCGCUGAUGGAGGAUUCCUGGCCUCACAGCAGUGCCUGGCCUGUGGGCGUCCCCGGCAGUCCUCGGCUGCGGGACCUGUAUCGGGACUGCGCAAAGUGGGCUUCCAGGAGAGCAGGGCGUCCCUCAGUCAGCUGACCCCUUGGAGCGUGGGGCAGCCCAGGCCCGUGAGGCCGCCAGUGUCACCCUCAGGCCCGCGAGGCCCCCGAGCCCCUUGUGGGGUCCAAGGCCCAUUCUGGAUCAGUCACGAGGCAAGACCGCGGACCCUCAGGAGAUCACCAGGAGCCCGCCGCGCAUUCCUCCGCCUCCACCACGCCAGUCACCUGCUCAGCCCGAGGGCAGCCAGCGGCCGUCGCCCCAGUGAGGCGGCCGGUGAGGAGCUGAGGCCGUGACCAGGGCAGCGCCCCGCGAGUCAGCGUCAGUCCCCGCGCCAGCCAGUUCCUCAGACAAUCAGCUCACCAUUCCCAUCGCGUAUGCUGGGAAAUCAUCAAUAUACCCGCUGUCAUGGGUCAGUGCUCACACAAUGAAGAUGACACAGAAGGAGAGGAAGACCAGGGCUGUGGCUCCAGCUCCCCCGACCGCCCCCAGCAACACUCCUGAUACAGGCCUCAUUUUGCCUGAGGAUGGAUUGGAAUUGUUUUGGUGAUCCAACUCCAAGAACUGGGUCUCUUCUCCUCCCACUUCCUAUAAGGCCCCCAACUUGGGUACCCUAAUCCCCCUUCCCAGAAACAAAGGGCAAGAAUGGGAGGGAGGAGGAAGGGACAACUCCUGAGGUCACUGAGGCAUGAGAGUGGUAAGCACAGCCUGCCUGUAUUUGAAAUUUUGAUUUGUAUUCACUGUCAAAUUAUUUUGCAAUAAUUUUUAGUUUUUAAUAAAGAUAAUCACAUCCAAUAUUA